RNAcentral lists this ribosomal RNA (494 nucleotides) under uncultured bacterium. Its description in RNAcentral is "partial 16S ribosomal RNA". It matches the Rfam family "Bacterial small subunit ribosomal RNA", at positions 28 to 507 of the family's 1533-position model. The record is from RNAcentral.
GACGAACGCUGGCGGCGUGCCUAAUACAUGCAAGUAGAACGCUGAAGGAGGAGCUUGCUCUUCUGGAUGAGUUGCGAACGGGUGAGUAACGCGUAGGUAACCUGCCUGGUAGCGGGGGAUAACUAUUGGAAACGAUAGCUAAUACCGCAUAACAGUAGAUGUUGCAUGACAUUUGCUUAAAAGGUGCAAUUGCACCACUACCAGAUGGACCUGCGUUGUAUAGCUAGUUGGUGGGGUAACGGCUCACCAAGGCGACGAUACAUAGCCGACCUGAGAGGGUGAUCGGCCACACUGGGACUGAGACACGGCCCAGACUCCUACGGGAGGCAGCAGUAGGGAAUCUUCGGCAAUGGACGGAAGUCUGACCGAGCAACGCCGCGUGAGUGAAGAAGGUUUUCGGAUCGUAAAGCUCUGUUGUAAGAGAAGAACGAGUGUGAGAGUGGAAAGUUCACACUGUGACGGUAUCUUACCAGAAAGGGACGGCUAACUACGUG